AACGAACGCUUGCGGCAGGCUUAACACAUGCAAGUCGAGCGCGUAGCAAUACGAGCGGCAGACGGGUGAGUAACGCGUGGGAACCUACCCUUUUCUACGGAAUAACGCAUGGAAACGUGUGCUAAUACCGUAUACGCCCGAGACCGGUGGACGGUUUUGGGGAAAGAUUGAUCGGAGAAGGAUGGGCCCGGGUUGGAUUAGUUAGUUGGUGGGGUAAAGGCCUACCAAGGCGACGAACCAUAGCGGGGCGGAGAGGAUGAUCAGCACCAUUGGGACUGAGCCCCGGAGCAAACUCCUACGGGAGGCAGCAGAGGGGAAUAUUGAACAAUGGGCGCAAUCCUGAUCCAGCCAUGCCGCGUGAGUGAUGAAGGCCAUAGGGUUGUAAAGCUCUUUCCCCGGCGAAGAUAAUGACGCUAUCCGGAGAAGAAGCCCCGGCUACUUCGUGCCAGCAGCCGCCGUAA
Molecule: ribosomal RNA, 461 nt
Filed under: uncultured bacterium
Lineage: Bacteria
Description: partial 16S ribosomal RNA
Rfam family: Bacterial small subunit ribosomal RNA
Source: RNAcentral